GACGAACGCUGGCGGCGUGCUUAACACAUGCAAGUCGAACGGUCAACCUCUUCGGAGGGGCUUAGUGCCGAACGGGUGAGUAACACGUUGGCAACCUGCCCCCGGCUCUGGGAUAACUCCAAGAAAUCGGGGCUAAUACCGGAAGUUCACCGCUUCCCGCAUGGGUGGUGGUGGAAAGGGUUUCCGGCUGGGUAUGGUCCCGCGGCCUAUCAGCUUGUUGGUGUGGUAGUGGCCUACCAAGGCGACGACGGGUAGCCGGCCUGAGAGGGGGACCGGCGACACUGCGCCUGAGGCACGGACCAGUCUCCUACGUGAGGCAGCAGGGGGGAAUAUUGCGCAACGGGCGGAAGCCUGACGUAGCGACGCCGCGUGGGGGAUGCUGUCCUUCGGGUUGUAAACCUCUUUCUGCAGGGACGAAGCGCAAGUGACGGUACCUGCAGAAGAAGCACCGGCCAACUACGUG
Molecule: ribosomal RNA, 463 nt
Filed under: uncultured bacterium
Lineage: Bacteria
Description: partial 16S ribosomal RNA
Rfam family: Bacterial small subunit ribosomal RNA
Source: RNAcentral